This 460-nucleotide ribosomal RNA is filed under the name uncultured bacterium. RNAcentral describes it as "partial 16S ribosomal RNA". It matches the Rfam family "Bacterial small subunit ribosomal RNA", at positions 338 to 795 of the family's 1533-position model. The record is from RNAcentral.
CCUACGGGAGGCUGCAGUGAGGAAUAUUGGUCAAUGGACGAGAGUCUGAACCAGCCAAGUAGCGUGAAGGAUGACUGCCCUAUGGGUUGUAAACUUCUUUUAUAUGGGAAUAAAAUGUUCCACGUGUGGGAUUUUGUAUGUACCAUAUGAAUAAGGAUCGGCUAACUCCGUGCCAGCAGCCGCGGUAAUACGGAGGAUCCGAGCGUUAUCCGGAUUUAUUGGGUUUAAAGGGAGCGUAGGUGGAUUGUUAAGUCAGUUGUGAAAGUUUGCGGCUCAACCUUAAAAUUGCAGUUGAAACUGGCAGUCUUGAGUACAGUAGAGGUGGGCGGAAUUCGUGGUGUAGCGGUGAAAUGCUUAGAUAUCACGAAGAACUCCGAUUGCGAAGGCAGUUCACUGGACUGCAACUGACACUGAGGCUCGAAAGUGUGGGUAUCAAACAGGAUUAGAUACCCUUGUAGUC